This 1029-nucleotide long non-coding RNA is filed under the name Macaca mulatta (Rhesus monkey). Its description in RNAcentral is "lncRNA (ENSMMUG00000051132.1)". The record is from RNAcentral. Lineage: Eukaryota; Metazoa; Chordata; Mammalia; Primates; Cercopithecidae.
CUUGUUCUUAUCUUAUAUUUUUAUCUUUUCUUUCUCACAGCCCUUUGCUGUUGCAUUUUGACUAAGUUUCAUGGGAAUCUAUUUGUUGCCGAACUCUAAAUAUACCUGUCUAUGGUAUCCAGUCUCUCCGUAUAAGCAUAUAUAGAGAAGGUAUCAAUACCCAGUCCAGGAGUGUAGGGCGGGAUUGGUAAAAGUAAAGAUAUUGGUCAGUAGUUUUGUGAGCUGUUAGAUAUAAGCUUUGUUCACAAGGCGUUUUCUUCAUAUGGGAUAAAUUUAUUGCAAUGGUUUCCUCCUGUCUGUUGCAAUCGAUUUAAAACACUCACCUCAAUGGGGGAAUGACUGUCUAUUCCAUUGCUUUCUUUUUCUUCAGCAUGGCUACAUACUUUUUUGUUCAUCUGUGCCUGAGGUCAAUGACCCAGAUAUUCUUCUCCUUGCUUCUGGCUAUGUGUACUUUUUCAUGUAUACGGUAACGAAUUUUAUUCUCUUAUUGUUUGCCCUCUCCAUUGUUGACAUUAGCAUUUUAUAAGCAUGACUAGAUUAAUCAUACCACUAAAAAUUUAAUAUCUUAUAUUGUGGCCCAAAUAUAUUAAUGUAGCCUAUAUGUUCACUCCUAACUUCCAAAUCAGGCACCAACAUUAGGAUCUAAAAGUGAAAUAGAAAAUGUGAAAGUACAAAACGAUUAACUUUUUGCUACCAACCAUCUCAUUAUUUAUUGCCAUUUACUUUGCAAUAAUUACUUAAGAAAAAAAAUCUUGAUUAUUGCUCCCUACUGCUUUAACUGCAGUCGCGGAUUUAAAGAUGAAUUCAGGCUUCAGCCUUUCCCUGGGGCUGAUGGACUUCUCCUUUCAAAGUAGGACACUUCUAUCUGAUGGCAUUAACCAUAAAAUCCCCCAUUUCAAGUCUAUGAUAUCCUGAAGGACAACGGCUCAUUUCAUUUCUUAUCAAGAAAUCAGGCAGAUCAGUCAUAUUUCCCGAAUCAAAUGACAUUUCAGAAAAUUCAUUUGAACCAAAAAUGAGGUUUCGUUUCUG